Molecule: ribosomal RNA, 497 nt
Filed under: uncultured bacterium
Lineage: Bacteria
Description: partial 16S ribosomal RNA
Rfam family: Bacterial small subunit ribosomal RNA
Source: RNAcentral
GAUGAACGCUGGCGGCGUGCCUAAUACAUGCAAGUCGAGCGAACAGAUAAGGAGCUUGCUCCUUUGACGUUAGCGGCGGACGGGUGAGUAACACGUGGGUAACCUAUCUAUAAGACUGGAAUAACUCCGGGAAACCGGGGCUAAUGCCGGAUAACAUGUUGAACCGCAUGGUUCUACAGUGAAAGGCGGCUUUGCUGUCACUUAUAGAUGGACCCGCGCCGUAUUAGCUAGUUGGUGAGGUAACGGCUCACCAAGGCAACGAUACGUAGCCGACCUGAGAGGGUGAUCGGCCACACUGGAACUGAGACACGGUCCAGACUCCUACGGGAGGCAGCAGUAGGGAAUCCUCCGCAAUGGGCGAAAGCCUGACGGAGCAACGCCGCGUGAGUGAUGAAGGUCUUCGGAUCGUAAAACUCUGUUAUUAGGGAAGAACAAAUGCGUAAGUAACUGUGCGCGUCUUGACGGUACCUAAUCAGAAAGCCACGGCUAACUACGUG